GAAUUUUUGGUUUUGUUACGGGAAGAACAGGAUUUAUUUUCUGAUUUUUCACAAAUGCAAGCAGAUGUAGAGAGUUAUUUGCCCAACUCUAGUUGUGAGGAUGAAAUCCAUUAUGGAGGGGGAGACGCUCAGUCAAAACAGCCAUAAAAGUAAACAGACAGACCUAUUCUGGUGGCAUUCAGGCAACUCCCAGCAUUCUUGUUAAAAGUAAAGCGUUCUUGCUUUUUCUCUUGCCCCACUUCUAUAAACGGCAAUCCAGUGGUCACAGUGAGGCUGGCCUCUUCUCUUUAGAUCCUACUGCUAUGUAAUCUUACCUAUUCUGUCUUUCAGUGUUUCAAAUGAAGAUGAAGAGAUGAACACACCUCUUUGACCAAAUUCAUCUUCCUAGGUUACUCCCAAACCACUAGGCCUCCAGGGGUUACUCUGUAGUUCAUGUUUGAAAGAUUAGGAUUUGUACGUGCACACACAGAAAACGAAGUAGAAAUUGGUUUUAGUCCCCACCUUUAGAUAAUUUGGUGCAAAUAGAUGUGGACACUUCUUUUGAAAUAAGAAUGUUCUAUGUUAAUUUAAAUUGGUAAAAAAAUAAGACCUCAACAAAAUAGGACAAUCUGAAAUGUGUGUGUCCACACACAGACUUGCACCAAAAUAGCUAAAGGUGUGAAUUAAAACCAGUGUUGCUAGUUUGGUUUCGGAUUGUGUGUAGACAAGCCCCUAAAUUCACCACUCCAAUGACUAGAAAUGUAGGUCUCAUCCCUGCACUAAAAUGCACAGACCUAGUGCGUGGCACCCCAUUCAUUUCCAUGGGGAUCUGCACCUGCAGACUUGUUUGCAGGAUUCCCAUACUAAAUCCUGCAAAGAUUUAGGCUAUGUCUACACAGCACACCUUAAACAGCCAUGCCCUUGUAGUCAUUCUUUGUCAGCAGGACACAGCUUGCCUGCUGACAAAAUAAAACCACCUUCAGAGAGGGACAGUAGCUCUCCCCUUGACAAAGCGCUGUCCACAUGGGCACUUUUUGUGGGUAAAACUUUUUGACAAAAGUUUUACUGACAAAAGUGCAGGGUUGACAUAGCCUUGCACACGCGCUUAACUUUCCACACUGUAAGCAGUCCCAAACAAAUCAAUAGGACACCUUACCAUGCAGAAGUUAAGCACUUAUGUAGAUCUUUGCAAGAUCAGAGCCUGAGGGUGACAGAGAGGCCUUAGCAAGCAACUGUGACUUUUUCACAAAAGACAGAAAUAUUUCAUAGCCAACAAUGCCUUUACUUGUACAUUCACAGAGGCAGGGAUAAAGUGUGCAUAAUGCCGGAAAAGCAAUCACAGGAAGGGGAACAGAAAGAAGCCCUGGUGGAGAGGUGUAUUUUCCAGUUAGCAAAAUGUUAGAGGCAGAUUAGCCAGUGAACUCAGUGGAAACCCUCCAACACAUUGACUGUCAUUUUUAUGUCCUUGCAUCUUUCAUUCUGAGCCCUCUGAAUUACUGCAACAAUCAUUCUGGCCAUGCACAGUACCUGCAGAGAUCUAGGACUUAGACUUAAACCCUGGUCAGAACAAAGUGCCAUGACCUCACAGAGGGGCCCUCAAGUUAGAUUUCUUCUCUGUUUAGGAUGCUUCAAGUACAACUUUAUGCUAGUUAGCAGUUUAUUUUGGACAUGGGGUAACUACGUAAAUGAAAGGUUCCAGUCUGCAAUAAUACCAUCUGAUAACUUUUACCCAAGAAUCUCAAAGUGUGCACAACCUACAUUAAUUGACCAUACCCACAGCAUCCCAGCUCAUUUUAUAGCUGGACCGAGGCAGAAGGUUGAAAUUACUUGCCAAAGACCAUAUAGUGUAGCAGACCAAUGGCAGAGCUGACAAAAAUAAAAAAAAAUCCCAAUUCACAGUAAAUCUCAUUCCCAAAUAAGAGAGUCAUCUAUGAAAUUGGAAAAGGGGAGCAAGGUUGAAACAGCAUGUGGUGCCAAACAGAGGGUUCCAUAAUGCCCACUCACUACAUGUGGAAUAUCUAAAUAUGCUGCAAAGCAACCCUACACUUAGGUGAAUGAAGAAUCCUUUCUAAAGGCCAUAUGUUUUAAGCUUUAUAGUGAAGCACAACAAUACAGGGAUCAGCAAGCAGUCAAGUGCAGUUGGCAAUGAUAUUUUUCCAACUUCACAAUAGAAGUAUUAGAAAUGGAAUUCUAGAAAGUACUUUAAAAACCAGGCAUUGAACAUUACAUUUUGACAACAUUAUAAUUAUAAAGUUGAAGGCACAGUCUUGACAGAAUUAUAUAUGUAAUAUUACAUACAUAUAGGUGUAAAUUUAAAGAGGCAUAACAGUACUAAAAUUAGUAUUUCACAGAAUUGUUCACCAUUCCUUUUCCGAUACCAAACUUAAUAAAAAAGAUUUCUCUAACGUUAAAGAUAUUUGGCUGGAACUUCUGGGUUUUUUGGUCAGAAAACAAAAUAUUCUUAGUGGCUCAUGUAAUUAAACAUUGCCCUGCUUCUGUUCUGACUUUGUUGGUCUUACAGCUCCUUUUGGUAUGAAACUGACUACAUGCAAUAAGAGGCAUGCCUGUAUCAUUUGUAAAAGUUUACUGAUAAAUCCAGCGUAAAAUGUCAGACUGAUUAUUUUCAGGUUUUUGUUUUGGCUUUUUUUAAAUCAGAGGUCUUACAUAUAUCUAAUGACAAUACAGGAAAUAAUAAUAAAUAAACUAGUUCGAUGCAUAGUUUCAUUUGUAACUGAAUAUCUUAAAAUGGUUUUGAUGACACAAUCACAUGAUUUCAAGAUGUCCGGAGACAGGAGUAAAGUAUAUUUACAGAAAAAAAUUGCACAAUUUACAUGUGAGCAAACAUUUAACCUUUUAUGCUAUUUCACCUGCACUGUACAUUCAAACUGGAAAACAUUUUGGUUUUUCAACUUCAAGCACAGCAUGAAAUAUUUUAUUUACAAGGCAUCAACAUAAACAUUCUAAAAUUUCAGCAAGUUCCCACACAGAUGUUUACCAGGAAAAAAAACCUGUUUUCAAAAAGACUGACUCAGAUUUUCUGGACCAGAUGUACAAAACUGAGUAUGUCAAUGCAUUCAAGUGCAAAACAAAUUUCCAAUCACCUGAUUAAAAUAAGAGGCUUCUUAGUAUUGGAUACCACAGUGCAUGUGCAGUAAAGGGAUCAAAUACUGGUUUUAGUGAUAUAGAAAGCAUUAAAGGGGGACUUUCAUACAAGGAAAACUUGCAGAUUUAACCAUAUCUAUUCAUCUUAAAAACUGAGUAAUAAAUUGCUCUCAUUGCCAUAUGUUUGCUAACUACCAACCAAGAGUUUAAAACCAGGAUUUGUCCCAAGUGACCAUCCUUGAUUCCUGAAGUAAAAGUCUUAAUUUUGAUAGUUUUUUCCAUGCAACAGAUGUCAUAAACAUAGGAUUAUCAACCUGUUCCUGCUCCCACAUCAGUGACAAAAUUCCCAUUUUUGAGUCAGUCAGGGCCCAAUCAUAUUUGUUGCAGGAUCAAACAGAAGAUGACCAAUUACUAGCAUAAUUCAAAACCAAGUUCUCUCAUAUAAAGAAACAGGCUGCUGCCAUGUGAAAGUUCUUCGGUGAGAAAACAAAUCAUGCAGAAUACGCCCCACUGGACCUGCUGAGUCUUGCCAGAAAGAGCCUCUAAAAAUGAGGGUAGGUAAAAAACAAAACUGGAAUCAUGGAAGCAAUUUAUGUGAUCUUAAAGCAAUAAAUGCUGCAUGGCAGUAAUAUAUUGGUUUCUACAUAACAAUUCAUCCACUAAUCAGAAAUAGGUGGUGUUCUCAGUCUUGGGCAGCACAGCUAAUAGAAUGUCUUUACUAUAGCAUAAAUUAAAGUUUCUUGACACUAGAAAGGACAAAUAUAGCUAUAAUCUAGAUUGAAAUAUUUCUUAAAAUCUUAUCAAUUUGUGAUCUCAUGAAAACAAAUUCCUGAAUGAAAAUUUGGUGGAAACAACAAAAAGUUAUAUACUGCACUCAGCAUUACGAUGUGUGUAAAAUACUCUCUGAUCACACUUUAAGGACAACAUAUUCUGCUGCACAAAACUUCCUGUUUUCAGAUUUUGAUAUUUUCCCUUAUGAUGUGAAAAUUAUACAAUAUAUCAAACAUUUGCUUUUGAUAUUUUACAUACAUUGUGUGUGCAUUAUCUGUGAUUCUCAACUUAAAAACUAGAACACUAACAUUUACUAUUCUCUGUGUCUAUUCUCUGAUAGAUGCGCUGACCUCUCUGAAAAACACAAAUGAGAAUUAAAUGCUCACAUCAUGGAUUAGACUUCAUGGUAUAGUUCCUCAUAAUUAUUUACCUAGUAAACUAUUAAAUAGCUCUCUCAGCAAAGGAUUUCAAGAAUAAGAUUUGCAGAGUAGCCAAUAUUCCAGGGAGGUAAAUAGGUGAUAAACACCUAGUUGCUUUUUCAGUGAGAAAUUUCAGUUUUUUUAUGAUUAGCAAUCAAAAAUCUAAUUUUGAGAAUUCAGUAUUGUAACAAGUGAAAGAGGACCCAAUUCACAAAGUCUGGAUCUGGAUAUUCCCAAAUUGAGGUGGUUGGGAUCCGGGGUUUUGGUUCAGAGUCAUCUCUGGUACACUAUUAACAUCUUUACAAGCAAUUGAUAUUAGCUCAGUAGGUCGUAAAUAGAGCAAAUGCUGUGUGGUAACAUUACCUAAGUGUGAAUGCGUAAUUGUAAAGAUUACAAUGGUGGACCUUGUAACAUCAGUAUGAAUCACUGCAGUUCAUUUAAAGGGAACUGCAAGUGCUGAUAACCAGUAAUAACUACACUGAAUGCUAACAGACUUUUUAAAAAACACAAUAAUUCAGGUAGUAGCACCACCCUAUUACUUCCUCAGAUGAGCAUGAGAGAAAUCUCAGAUGGUGUGUUUUCUGAGCUAGCAGAGGCUAGGAGAGGCAAGACAUCAACCCACUGUGUGUAUAUUUAAUGUGCUUUCUAGCAGACAAUCUCAGUUGCAGGAGUGUAUUGGGACACAGAUGUACAGAGAAAGGAAAGAAGUUAAUCAGGGAGAAGAUGGGGGGGAAAUAAAUCCAAGCUCCCUCAGAUCUCUCUCUCUACAUAUGAUCACGAUCCAGAUCAAGGGAGAAGAGAUGGUAAAGGAUUUGGGUAAAAAAA
Gopherus evgoodei (Goodes thornscrub tortoise) is the source of this 5096-nucleotide long non-coding RNA. RefSeq lists it as uncharacterized. The record is from RefSeq and is a predicted model, not a curated record. NCBI's taxonomy places the organism in Eukaryota, Metazoa, Chordata, Testudines, Testudinidae. The transcript has 2 exons.